AUUGAACGCUGGCGGCACGCCUAACACAUGCAAGUCGAGCGGUAACAUGGUCUGUAGCAAUACAGAUUGAUGACAAGCGGCGGACGGGUGAGGAAUACGUAGGAACUUGCCCAUAAGUGGGGGACAACCAAGGGAAACUUUGGCUAAUACCGCAUAAUCUCGGAAGAGAAAAGCUGCCGCAAGGUGGCGCUUAUGGAGAGGCCUGCGUCCGAUUAGCUAGUUGGAGAGGUAAAAGCUCACCAAGGCGAUGAUCGGUAACUGGUCUGAGAGGACGACCAGUCACACUGGGACUGAGACACGGCCCAGACUCCUACGGGUGGCAG
Molecule: ribosomal RNA, 323 nt
Filed under: uncultured Pseudomonadota bacterium
Lineage: Bacteria; Pseudomonadati; Pseudomonadota
Description: bacterial SSU rRNA
Rfam family: Bacterial small subunit ribosomal RNA
Source: RNAcentral